Molecule: long non-coding RNA, 2385 nt
Organism: Danaus plexippus (monarch butterfly)
Lineage: Eukaryota; Metazoa; Arthropoda; Insecta; Lepidoptera; Nymphalidae
Exons: 2
Source: RefSeq, a predicted model, not a curated record
CGGACGACGUUUGAAGGUGAUACUAGUGUUGUAUCUUUAUAGUUACAAAAAUAUUAUGUUUUCAUACGUGGGUUCCAAUUAGUACUCAUAUAUGUGUAUCCUUUGUUACUACUUUUAUAGCACUUAAACAAAUUUUUAUAAUUUUUAUGCAUAUUUUUUUAUCGUUGAUAAAAGAAAUACAUGAAUAUACAUGAACACAUUUAUCGUUAUAAGUUCCUUAUAUUUUACUUUUUAAGUUCUUAGCUCUGUCCGACCCAUUACAGGAGAUACUUUACUAAAAAGUACUCUGAAUUAAUAUAAAAAGGAUUGAUUUGUAUAUUGUAUAGUUCUGUCGGAGCACGUGGCUGGGUCAAGUGGGGUCAAGGGCGAACGAAUAAACGGACCCACACCGCACUACAACGACACACACACACACACACACACACACAAACGCCGCCGCAGUCACUAGUAAAUUGGCAAAAUAAUAUGCACGAUACACAUAUUAGGAUCAUUUUAUAUUACAAAAGUUAGAAAGUUCAAUAAAAUGUAGUAUUUCAUAUUAAAAUUUUACUGAUAAUUUGGAACUAAUUUUAUAAUGAGAAGUAAUAUUUACUAUAUCAAUUUUAUACACUAAUUUGUUCACUAUACUCUAAGUGAUUACUCAGUAAGCGUCAUCUGACGUUCUGCUAGGAGCGUAGCUAUCUCUUGUCAUUACACGAGAGGAACGGAGUCGGGUGAAUGUACAUACAUAUAUAUGUAUGUUAAUUGGGAUCACGAUCCUGCGCCACGGCCCGUCCUCGUCGUCCUAGGCCUCGCGGACACGAUGCUCGUCCAUCAUCAUAUUAUGUAACGGUCUCGGUGACUGUCGGCACUCCAUUGUGGUGCCCAGGCGCCGCUGUCGGCGUCUUUUUUAAUUCCCGCCGGUUCUCGUGAUAAUUAUAAUCGCCUCCAUGUUUCGACAUCCGUUACUGCAAACUCGGAUCGCGUUAAUCGAUUCUAAUUGACUGCCGGAGCUCUGUAGUCACUGCUGUUUAUUAUAAUGAACUCUUCAAUCGAAUCAAACUAAUUCGCAAAUACAAAAACUGUACCUGUUGCAAGUAUUUUUAUUUUCGAAGUCGAUAUGAAGACGUAUAGAAGCAUCUAUCGUUAAUAACCGCUGGAUGAUCUCGACUUUUACUUCAAUGGAGAGUGCCCCGGGAUCAGUGACAAUAGCGGUUGCUCUACGAGUAUAUUGUAUGUAAAUGUGUCGACACCUCGCGCCAUUAGCGCUCAGCUCCUUAUACGUCACUCGUCGGUACGAUACCAUCAGUGGAGAUGGUGACUCUUCCCAUAUUAAUGGUAUCACCACCGCCAUCCGCCACCGAAACAAUUAAAUAACCUACACAAAAACAUUCCACAGCUUCGCGACUAUCAAAAACAACAUCACUUAACGUAUGAAAACCGUAGUGGCAGCAGCGCACGCGCACUCUCCGUGCCAAUUACAGCAGAGGCCAUCAGAUAUCGCUAACAAGACGAUGCGUAUCAGACGCCGCACCCGCGCACCACCGCCACCACCGCGCUCCAUCGCUACCAUCGCUACCAUCUCCACCACCGCAUCGGUCGAACGGAGCUCGCAUUCAAAUUCCGAUAACAAAUACUAUACACCCCCGCGACAUUAUUCUGUGAAUGCUCGAGACAUUAGAGACCCUAAGCCCUAACAGUUAAGUAUAUUAUUGCUUAGCGAGCGAGGUGGUCACUUUGCAUGAUGAACGCGGUGGCGUGAAUUACGCGACGCAGAUCGUUAUUGUUCAGCAAACAGAGGAACACGACUCCACUCAGAGAAAUGAGAGACUUAUUACACGGCGACAAUCGAAGAUGAAACCGCAUCGAUAAAGUUGUCGAGGAUAGGACCAUUGUCGAGAAGGUGGAAUAUUUCACGCAGAUGUUGCGAUAGAAGGCGAUUGUGUUCUUCGAGUGACUGCGAGCAGGAAGGACGAUAGAAAGCUAUGAAUCAAGACGACGACAAUGACUAGUCCAGGUUGGACUAACGAUGACUCUCUGCGGGCGACACACUACCACGAAACCACGUGUCCACUCACCUCUACUGAACUGUGAUAUGUAAAUAUAUACAUAAUAACAAUUGUAAAGAUGAUGAUCGUUCCCCACCCGGGCGCGUCCGGGUACUGGCGGCCCAGCGGCGCCUUUGAAUAAUUCGCAGAUGAUUCCUCUAGAUUUAUGGCCCCUAACCAUAUAGUGGCGGACGAGCAAAGCGGGCUGCCGGCUAGCGACAAUUAAAUAAUUUGCGUACGAAGCCGACGCUUCGCUUUUUUAAUAGACUGAUUUGUGGGUUUUAGACCCCAGUCUAUUAAUCGUAAUCUUCUAUUUGGUAAAACAAUUAAUUUAAAUAAACUUCGACGAGGCAACCUA